RNAcentral lists this ribosomal RNA (1535 nucleotides) under Escherichia coli. RNAcentral's name for it is "partial 23S ribosomal RNA". It matches the Rfam family "Bacterial large subunit ribosomal RNA", at positions 168 to 1744 of the family's 2925-position model. The record is from RNAcentral. Lineage: Bacteria; Pseudomonadati; Pseudomonadota; Gammaproteobacteria; Enterobacterales; Enterobacteriaceae.
AGGUUAAUGAGGCGAACCGGGGGAACUGAAACAUCUAAGUACCCCGAGGAAAAGAAAUCAACCGAGAUUCCCCCAGUAGCGGCGAGCGAACGGGGAGCAGCCCAGAGCCUGAAUCAGUGUGUGUGUUAGUGGAAGCGUCUGGAAAGGCGCGCGAUACAGGGUGACAGCCCCGUACACAAAAAUGCACAUGCUGUGAGCUCGAUGAGUAGGGCGGGACACGUGGUAUCCUGUCUGAAUAUGGGGGGACCAUCCUCCAAGGCUAAAUACUCCUGACUGACCGAUAGUGAACCAGUACCGUGAGGGAAAGGCGAAAAGAACCCCGGCGAGGGGAGUGAAAAAGAACCUGAAACCGUGUACGUACAAGCAGUGGGAGCACGCUUAGGCGUGUGACUGCGUACCUUUUGUAUAAUGGGUCAGCGACUUAUAUUCUGUAGCAAGGUUAACCGAAUAGGGGAGCCGAAGGGAAACCGAGUCUUAACUGGGCGUUAAGUUGCAGGGUAUAGACCCGAAACCCGGUGAUCUAGCCAUGGGCAGGUUGAAGGUUGGGUAACACUAACUGGAGGACCGAACCGACUAAUGUUGAAAAAUUAGCGGAUGACUUGUGGCUGGGGGUGAAAGGCCAAUCAAACCGGGAGAUAGCUGGUUCUCCCCGAAAGCUAUUUAGGUAGCGCCUCGUGAAUUCAUCUCCGGGGGUAGAGCACUGUUUCGGCAAGGGGGUCAUCCCGACUUACCAACCCGAUGCAAACUGCGAAUACCGGAGAAUGUUAUCACGGGAGACACACGGCGGGUGCUAACGUCCGUCGUGAAGAGGGAAACAACCCAGACCGCCAGCUAAGGUCCCAAAGUCAUGGUUAAGUGGGAAACGAUGUGGGAAGGCCCAGACAGCCAGGAUGUUGGCUUAGAAGCAGCCAUCAUUUAAAGAAAGCGUAAUAGCUCACUGGUCGAGUCGGCCUGCGCGGAAGAUGUAACGGGGCUAAACCAUGCACCGAAGCUGCGGCAGCGACGCUUAUGCGUUGUUGGGUAGGGGAGCGUUCUGUAAGCCUGCGAAGGUGUGCUGUGAGGCAUGCUGGAGGUAUCAGAAGUGCGAAUGCUGACAUAAGUAACGAUAAAGCGGGUGAAAAGCCCGCUCGCCGGAAGACCAAGGGUUCCUGUCCAACGUUAAUCGGGGCAGGGUGAGUCGACCCCUAAGGCGAGGCCGAAAGGCGUAGUCGAUGGGAAACAGGUUAAUAUUCCUGUACUUGGUGUUACUGCGAAGGGGGGACGGAGAAGGCUAUGUUGGCCGGGCGACGGUUGUCCCGGUUUAAGCGUGUAGGCUGGUUUUCCAGGCAAAUCCGGAAAAUCAAGGCUGAGGCGUGAUGACGAGGCACUACGGUGCUGAAGCAACAAAUGCCCUGCUUCCAGGAAAAGCCUCUAAGCAUCAGGUAACAUCAAAUCGUACCCCAAACCGACACAGGUGGUCAGGUAGAGAAUACCAAGGCGCUUGAGAGAACUCGGGUGAAGGAACUAGGCAAAAUGGUGCCGUAACUUCGGGAGAA